AUUUUAUGUAGGGUUACUGGUAAUAUUGAGCAAGCAGUGAAAAACGUAUAGUGUCGGAUAAAACGAAAGCACAUAAAUGUAAACCUAAAAUUAAUCAAGAUUCAACUUUAAAGUACAGUAAUGAUUUCCAGUAAUAAUAGUAUUGAUAUGAUGACAAUGAUAGUUUGACAGUAAUGAUUUUCCUUCAUAGAGGAAAAGGAUGAACGUUAAAGUAACUUAGAAGUGUAGUUUCCCUGUGAAAAGGGCGUGUCAGAACAAAAACUGUGAAGAAAGCUUCUCGUGUAAUUAUUGAAAAAUAUUAUACACGACUUACCUUGGACUUUCAUACAAACAAAAGGAUAUGUGAAGAAAUAGCAAUUAUACCCAG
Stegodyphus dumicola is the source of this 367-nucleotide long non-coding RNA. NCBI's taxonomy places the organism in Eukaryota, Metazoa, Arthropoda, Arachnida, Araneae, Eresidae. The record is from RefSeq and is a predicted model, not a curated record.